Molecule: long non-coding RNA, 416 nt
Organism: Gigantopelta aegis
Lineage: Eukaryota; Metazoa; Mollusca; Gastropoda; Neomphalida; Peltospiridae
Exons: 3
Source: RefSeq, a predicted model, not a curated record
CCACUGCCUUGAAUUUAUUAGCCGAAUCGUUUAGUUAAGACUGCAAUGAACGAACACUGAUGUAGAUGUUAGUGCACACUACAGCACAUACAGAAACCAAAACAAAACAAAACAAACAACAGAAACCACAAAAUUUAUAAUUCAAAAUGAUUGAGUCAACAAUGAGAAUUUGUUCUUCAGAAAGUGUUGUUCAAUGAGUUUGAAAUGAUGAAGAAUCAGUUAACAAGCAACAGCACUGAUCACGAGAAUCAUGAGGUAAACGUGGCAUCUCCCACCAGUGGAAAUCAACACAACCACACAGUCACUAACAGAGAUAAAACAUACAGUCCACACACAUAACCAAAGCCAGGGCUGUCGGAACUGGGGGAGGGGCGUACCACACCUCCCCCAUUUGAGAUACAAAACAUUUACUUUUU